CAUUCGAUACGGGCAAACUAGAGUUUGGUAGGGGAGACUGGAAUUCCUGGUGUAGCGGUGGAAUGCGCAGAUAUCAGGAGGAACACCAAUGGCGAAGGCAGGUCUCUGGGCCAAUACUGACACUGAGGAGCGAAAGUCUGGGGAGCGAACAGGAUUAGAUACCCUGGUAGUCCAGACCGUAAACGGUGGGCACUAGUUGUGGGAACCUUCCACGGUUUCUGCGACGCAGCUAACGCAUUAAGUGCCCCGCCUGGGGAGUACGAUCGCAAGAUUAAAACUCAAAGGAAUUGACGGGGCCCCGCACAAGCAGCGGAGCAUGCGGCUUAAUUCGACGCAACGCGAAGAACCUUACCAAGGCUUGACAUAUAGGGAAAAGUGGCAGAGAUGUCAUGUCCGCGAGGGCUCUAUACAGGUGGUGCAUGGUUGUCGUCAGCUCGUGUCGUGAGAUGUUGGGUUAAGUCCCGCAACGAGCGCAACCCUCGUUCUGUGUUGCCAGCAUUUAGUUGGGGACUCACAGGAGACUGCCGGGGUUAACUCGGAGGAAGGUGGGGAUGACGUCAAAUCAUCAUGCCCCUUAUGUCUUGGGCUGCACGCAUGCUACAAUGGCCGGUACAGAGGGCUGCAAUACCGCAAGGUGGAGCGAAUCCCAAAAAGCCGGUCUCAGUUCGGAUUGAG
Molecule: ribosomal RNA, 675 nt
Filed under: uncultured bacterium
Lineage: Bacteria
Description: bacterial SSU rRNA
Rfam family: Bacterial small subunit ribosomal RNA
Source: RNAcentral